CACCGAGCGGGGCCCAAAAACCGAGCGGGGCCCAAAAAACCGAGCGGGGCCCAAAAACCGAGCGGGGCCCAAAAACCGAGCGGGGCCCAAAAACCGAGCGGGGCCCAGCGGGGCUGAGGGCCCGAACGGGUCCGAGCGGGGCCGAGGGCCCUGAGCGGGUCCGGGCGGGCGGGUCCGAGCGGGGCCCAGCGGGGCUGAGGGCCGCGAGCGGUUCCGAGCGGUUCCGAAAGGUUCCGAGCGGUUCCGAAAGGUUCCGAGUGGAUUCGAGCGGGGCCAGCGGGACCCAGCGGAGCCGAGCGGGGCUGAGGGGCCCGAGCGGUUCCGAACGGUUCCGAACGGUUCCGAGCGGGGCCGAGCGGGGCUGAGGGCCCCGAGCGGGUCCGAACGGUUCCGAACGGUUCCGAGCGGGGCCGAGNGGGGCCGAGCGGGGCUGAGGGCCCCGAGCGGGUCCGAACGGUUCCGAACGGUUCCGAGCGGGGCCGAGCGGGGCUGAGGGCCCCGAGCGGGUCCGGGCGGGCGGGUCCGAGCGGGGCCCAGCGGGGCUGAGGGCCCCGAGCGGGUCCGAACGGUUCCGAACGGUUCCGAGCGGGUUUGAGCGGGGCUGAUCUGAAGGGCCCGAGCGGUUCCGAAAGGUUCCGAGCGGGCCCGAAUAGACCGGGACGGUUCCGAGCGGGUCCGAGUGGGUUUGAGCGGGGCUGAGGGCCCCGAGCGGGUCCGAGCGGUUCCGAGCGGGUCCGAGCUGAGCGGGCAGCGCGGGGUGCGGCCUUCGGCCUCGGCCGCCUCCUCCUCCUCCUCCUCCUCCUGCUGCUACUGCUCUUCCUCCCCCGGCUCUGCCUCCUCUUCCUCCUGUGCCUCUUCCUGAUCUUCGGCCUCUGCUCCUCAUCUUCCUCAUCCUCCUGUGCUUCCUCCUCAUCUUCCUCAUCUUCCUCCUGUGCCUCUUCCUCCUCAUCUUCCUCCUCUUCCUCCUGUGCCUCUUCCUGAUCUUCGGCCUCUGCUCCUCAUCUUCCUCAUCCUCCUGUGCCUCUUCCUCCUCCUCCUGCUCAGCCUCUGGGUCCCCUCCUCUUCCUCCUCUUCCUCCCCUUCCUCCCCUUCCUCCUCUUCCUCCCCUUCCUCCUCUUCCUCCCCUUCCUCCUCUUCCUCCCCUUCCUCCUCUUCCUCCCCUUCCUCCUCUUCCUCCUCUUCCUCCUCUUCCUCCCCUUCCUCCCCUUCCUCCUCUUCCUCCCCUUCCUCCUCCUCCUCCCCUUCCUCCUCUUCCUCCUCUUCCUCCUCCUGCUCUUCCUCCUCUUCCUCUUCUUCCUCUUCUCCUUUUCUUCCUCUUCUUCUUCCUCCUCCUCUUCCUCCCCUUCCUCUUCCUCCUCUUCAUCUUCUCCUCCUCUUCCUCCUCUUCUCUUCUUCCUCCUCUUCUUCCUCUUCCUGCUCUUCCUCUUCUUCCUCCUCCUCUUCCUCCUCUUCUCCGGCUUUUCCUCCUCUUCCUCCUCCUCUUCCUCUUCCUCCUCUUCCUCUUCUCUUCCUCCCCCUCCCCCCGCCGGGCCCUGGAAUUUGGGGGAUUCCAGGAAUUUUUGGCAAUUCCAAGGCUGGUUUGGGAAUUCCAGGAAUUUCGGGAAUUCUGGAAUUUUGGCAGUUCUGGGAAUUUUGAGUAUUCCAAGGUUGUUUUUGGGAAUUCCAGGAAUUUGGGGGAGUUCUGGAAUUUUGGCAGUUCUGGGAAUUGGGGGAAUUUUUGGAAUUCCAGGAUUUUGACAGCUCUGGGGAUUCCAGGAAUUUUGGGAAUUCCGGGACUUGCUUUGGGAAUUUUGAGCAUUCCAGGAAUUCUGGGACUGCCGGGGGUUUUUGGGAAUUCCUGAUCCCGGGGCCUUUGGGGGCUUUUUUUUUUUUGGGAAUUCUGGAGUUUUUUUUCUGGGAAUUCCGGGAAAUCCAGGCGUGAUUUUUAGGGAAUUCCGGCAUUGUUUUGGGAAUUCCCGAUCCUGGGGCCUUUUGCGGCUUUUAUUUUUGGGAAUUUUGGGAAUUCCAGGGGGGUUUUUUUGGGAAUUUUGGUAAUUCCCAAUCCCGGGGCCUUUUGGGGCUCUUUUUUUUUGGGAUUUUUGGGAAUUCUGGGGAAACUGAGGCACAGCUGGAGCUGAGCCCGGAGUAUCCCCGGAGUAUCCCUGGAAUAUCCCUGGAAUAUCCCCGGAGUAUCCCUGGAGUAACCCCGGAGUAUCCCUGAAAUAUCCCUGGAGUAUCCCUGGAGUAUUUUUGGGAUAAAUCCCUUCCCUGCCCCCAAUUUCCCCCCGUUUGUCCCCAAAAUUCCCCCCAAAAAUGAGAAUUUUGGGAUGGAUUCCCAAAAAAAUCCCAUCCAAAAUGUGACUUUUGGGAUAAAUUCCCCCUUUUGCCUGGGAUUCCCCCCAAAAUCCCAUCAAAAAUGAGAAUUUUGGGAUAAAUUCCCCCUUUUCCCCAAAAAUCUCAUCAAAAAAGAGAAUUUUGGGAUCCGUUUCCUCCAAAACCACAUUAAAAAUGGGAAUUUCGGGAUUUCUCCCGGGUUUUCCCCAGGAUUCCCCUCAAACUCCCAUCCAGAAUGAGAAUUUUGGGAUGGAUUCCCCCUUUUCCCCAAAAUUCCCCCCAAAAUCCCAUCCAAAAUGAGAAUUUUGGGAUGGAUUCCCCCUUUUCCCUGCAAUUCCCCCCAAAAUCCCAUCCAGAAUGAGAAUUUUGGGAUGGAUUCCUCCUUUUCCCCAAAAUUCCCUCCAAAAUCCCAUCCAGAAUGAGAAUUUUGGGAUGGAUUCCCCCUUUUCCCCAAAAUUCCCUCCAAAAUCCCAUCCAGAAUGAGAAUUUUGGGAUUUCUCCCCCACAAACCCAACCCAAAUGGGAAUU
RNAcentral lists this long non-coding RNA (2841 nucleotides) under Lonchura striata (white-rumped munia). RNAcentral's name for it is "domestica (Bengalese finch) lncRNA (ENSLSDG00000005697.1)". The record is from RNAcentral. Lineage: Eukaryota; Metazoa; Chordata; Aves; Passeriformes; Estrildidae.